UCCCCCAUACACAUUAUAAUCAACGCCAUCACUACUUGUGGUGUUUUGUCCAUUUCCUAAGCAGCUUGAAAGUGAGUGCUUCAAUAACGUUUUCUCUUCUCCACAUUUUACAAUCCCUUCCAACAUCCCAGGCUCAACAUCUGGGCAAUUUGGAAAAUUGUCAGGAGUGGUAGCAACUUCAUCUUCAAGAGCAUCAACCUUAACAGGGUUGGCUUUGAGUUCCUCAGCUACAGAUCUAGAUUCUCUGCGUCUUAUUUGGCAGCAGGACUUGCCGGGACGAUGUUUUGGAGAAGAACCAACAGAAGCAAAAAUAGUCCGUCUUCUUGGAGAUGGACCCUUGUAUUUUUCAAGAUAACGUGGACUAUCCUUACGACCUUUCCAAGACAAGCUUCUAGCAGUUACUGUAGAAAAAUAAAGGUCGGAACCUGAAAGUUCUUCUGCCUCAUUGUUUCUCAUUUCCAAAUUGACGGAAUUCUCUUCUUCUUUAGGGGACCUAUUACCCACUUUGCAUUCACAAGGAGUAUCCUGCUCAGAGCUUGAAUCAAAUGUCUCAGAAAUGUGGCUAAUCCCAUUACCAUCCAGAAUAGCAAGAACACCUGCUGUUGCCUUCUCAGCCUUCAUUCUUUGAA
This 629-nucleotide unclassified non-coding RNA is filed under the name Hevea brasiliensis (rubber tree). Lineage: Eukaryota; Viridiplantae; Streptophyta; Magnoliopsida; Malpighiales; Euphorbiaceae. The record is from RNAcentral.